RNAcentral lists this long non-coding RNA (1363 nucleotides) under Homo sapiens (human). RNAcentral's name for it is "Pvt1 oncogene". The stretch from base 618 to 747 matches the Rfam family "Pvt1 oncogene conserved region 5". Lineage: Eukaryota; Metazoa; Chordata; Mammalia; Primates; Hominidae. The record is from RNAcentral.
GUCCUGUGGUCAUAGCGAAUCUUUCUAAAGCUCUGAUCAGUCAAGAAGGGGGUUGUAUCAAUCCUCAGAACCCUGAGUGGAACUUUCUACAGGAUUUAUUAGGAGAAAAACCUUCCCGGAAGCUGCAGAAGGACAAAUACAGAAUCCGUGUCUGGGAGAAACCUCGUGGCCUGGUCUCCAUUAUUUGAGAUGAGUUACAUCUUGGAGGCCUGAUCUUUUGGCCAGAAGGAGAUUAAAAAGAUGCCCCUCAAGAUGGCUGUGCCUGUCAGCUGCAUGGAGCUUCGUUCAAGUAUUUUCUGAGCCUGAUGGAUUUACAGUGAUCUUCAGUGGUCUGGGGAAUAACGCUGGUGGAACCAUGCACUGGAAUGACACACGCCCGGCACAUUUCAGGAUACUAAAAGUGGUUUUAAGGGAGGCUGUGGCUGAAUGCCUCAUGGAUUCUUACAGCUUGGAUGUCCAUGGGGGACGAAGGACUGCAGCUGGCUGAGAGGGUUGAGAUCUCUGUUUACUUAGAUCUCUGCCAACUUCCUUUGGGUCUCCCUAUGGAAUGUAAGACCCCGACUCUUCCUGGUGAAGCAUCUGAUGCACGUUCCAUCCGGCGCUCAGCUGGGCUUGAGAAUCCUGUUACACCUGGGAUUUAGGCACUUUCAAUCUGAAAAAAUACAUAUCCUUUCAGCACUCUGGACGGACUUGAGAACUGUCCUUACGUGACCUAAAGCUGGAGUAUUUUGAGAUUGGAGAAUUAAGAGCCAGUCUUGGUGCUCUGUGUUCACCUGGUUCAUCUGAGGAGCUGCAUCUACCCUGCCCAUGCCAUAGAUCCUGCCCUGUUUGCUUCUCCUGUUGCUGCUAGUGGACAUGAGGUAACCACAGCCUAGUUCUGUGAUAAGCUCUUCACACCUGUACCCAUAUGGACUGUGGGAGAGUUUCUCUGAUAUGGACUGUGAUGCGGAAGGACAGAAUAACGGGCUCCCAGAUUCACAAGCCCCACCAAGAGGAUCACCCCAGGAACGCUUGGAGGCUGAGGAGUUCACUGAGGCUACUGCAUCUUGAGACUCAGGAUGAAGACCCAGCUUGGGGCUGUCAAAGGUUUUUUGCAUGUCUGACACCCAUGACUCCACCUGGACCUUAUGGCUCCACCCAGAAGCAAUUCAGCCCAACAGGAGGACAGCUUCAACCCAUUACGAUUUCAUCUCUGCCCCAACCACUCAGCAGCAAGCACCUGUUACCUGUCCACCCCCACCCCUUCCCCCAAACUGCCUUUGAAAAAUCCCUAACCUAUGAGCUUUGAAUAAGAUGAGUACGAACUUCAUCGCCCACGUGGCGUGGCCGGCCUCGUGUCUAUUAAAUUCUUUUUCUACUACAA